CCUCUUUCCUUUUGAGCUCGAGUGCAUUUUCAUGCAUGGAAGCGACAUGUUUGGCCCAUCCGAGCAUCUUCAAUUUCAUCCGCCUAUCUUCAUCGGUCCCAAAACUCCUCCUCCGGCGAUUAUCCCGGGCGUCGAUGGCGGAGCUCGAUGCAUCCUCUUCGUCCAGCAGAUGAGGAGGCGGCGGCUCAGGUUUCGUCCCGAAAUCCGGCCAUUUGAUGCCGCAUUUUGUGUGGUCGACGCCCGCCAUCGCCAGUGCUUCGAUCGACAUAUGGCUUCUUUGAUAUCUCUGGACCUGCAAAGCGUUUCUUUUCCUUUGGGUGAUGUUGAGCAAGAGACUGAAUCG
This 343-nucleotide long non-coding RNA is filed under the name Eucalyptus grandis. Its description in RNAcentral is "long non-coding RNA (EGRA_LNC005458)". Lineage: Eukaryota; Viridiplantae; Streptophyta; Magnoliopsida; Myrtales; Myrtaceae. The record is from RNAcentral.